ACGUUGAUGAACACCUGUUUGGCAGCGAAUUCAGGAUAAUUGUCUUGGAAUAGUUGCAGAGCUCGCCUGGUGGCGUUUCUGAGCUCCCACUUGGUGAGUCCAGGCGAGUUUUUGAGGUCGUUGACUUGAACAAUGGUGGAGAUGCCAUUGGGGCUGAAGUCGAGCUUUCUGAUGCUCUUCUCCAGAAACUGAAUCCUCCAUCGGAGGAAUUUGAGGCUCUUUUCGUCGUCGGAGAAGGUGAUCUGAUACAAGUCCUUGUUCUCGAACUCACCGAACACGUUGUAACAGACUGGGUGGCCUUCCCUGUCGAGGCCAUGGGAGAACACCACUUUGUCCCACUGGUUCCCCAAGUCCUCGUCCAGUAGAGCCUCGAUGCCGAAUUGUUUUCGCCAACGAACCGUGUUCUUGAUCAUCGUGAAAGCAUCCUUCACCUUGAAGUCUCUGGCUCGGAGGAAUUUCAACAGGAUCACAUCGCUCCUUUCGUCGCCAAGGAGAGGAAUUCCCCAGAUGAACACCUCCUCUGGUGGAGGUGGCGGCACAGGUUCCGCCGCUUCUACUACGGCCUCAGCCUCCGCCUCUUCCUUGGGCAGGGCUGUUUCCUCCGGCUGCGGGGCCGAGACGGAAACUACAGUUUCCUCGAUCGCUUCCACCGUCUUGGCAUCAUCCUCGUCGAUAACUGCCACUUUCUCCACCACCGUCGAUGGCUCUGCCGCCUUCUCUUCGGGUUUUGGAGCCAGCGAAGUCUCGGGCGCAGGAGUAGGAGUGAUGGUGUCUUCCACCUUCACCGUCACAGUCUCUGGUUCAGGUUCGGGUUUGGGAGGCUCUUCGAUCACAACUUCCUUUGGAGGUUGUUCCUCGGGUACAGCUUCUUUGGGAGCAUCGGAUUUGUCUUCGAUUUUAGGAUCUUCAGCAGGCUUUUGGGGUUCUUCCUUCUUCUCCUCGGCCGGCUUGUCUUCUUCCUUAGCCGGCGGAGGGGGUGGAGGAGCAGUGAAGUCGUGGUUAUUGAGAGCCUCCUGAAUCAGGAGCUUUAGAUCAGCCAGCGCCUUCCUCUGAGACUCGGGAAGCUCAGCAACAACGUUGGUCUCCUCCUUGAAAGAAACCGACUGAGAAAUCUUUUCAAAGUCAUCGGCCGCCUUGGGCUUGUCGGCCUCUGCAACUUCCUCCACGGAAUCAGGGUUAGCAGGAGGAGGAUUUGGUAGUUCCUUCUCAGGGGCAGGGGCAGGGGCAGGG
This 1230-nucleotide unclassified non-coding RNA is filed under the name Hevea brasiliensis (rubber tree). The record is from RNAcentral. Lineage: Eukaryota; Viridiplantae; Streptophyta; Magnoliopsida; Malpighiales; Euphorbiaceae.